UACGAAGGGGGCUAGCGUUGCUCGGAAUUACUGGGCGUAAAGCGCACGUAGGCGGAUUGUUAAGUCGGGGGUGAAAUCCUGGAGCUCAACUCCAGAACUGCCUUCGAUACUGGCGAUCUAGAGUCUGGGAGAGGUGAGUGGAACUGCGAGUGUAGAGGUGAAAUUCGUAGAUAUUCGCAAGAACACCAGUGGCGAAGGCGGCUCACUGGCCCGGUACUGACGCUGAGGUGCGAAAGCGUGGGGAGCAAACAGG
Molecule: ribosomal RNA, 253 nt
Filed under: uncultured bacterium
Lineage: Bacteria
Description: partial 16S ribosomal RNA
Rfam family: Bacterial small subunit ribosomal RNA
Source: RNAcentral